AAUGACAUGGGCGAAUUGCAGAUUGGGCAAGAAGCAACAUUGCAACUGGCGUUACAAAACGGCCAACAUAUCCGACGUGUGCGAGAGGAAGACGCACAACGCUGGGCUGGAUGGUACCAGAAUUUCCCGCCACCACAGUGAGCGAAGAUCUAGCUUGGGGGAGAUGCUCUCCCCCACUAAGGUAAGUAUUCUAUCCUAUUUAUUUUCAUGCAUUUUAUCAUUCUUACUUAAAAAAAAUAAAUAUUUAUUAGCAUCUCCCUUUAGCAUAUAUGCUUCAUGUAUGUUUAUAUCCCUCAUGGAAAUUAUGACUAGUUGCUUGUUAAUGUUUCUCUAGUGCCUAGUAUACAACUUAGUAUUUCUCUAAGUAUGGAUCACUUAGCUCACUUAAACUGCCAUGAACCUAAAAACUUUGUGGGUUGCAAGUGCUAGAACUAAGUCUAAGUUGUUGUGGGACAUGAGAUAGUAAGGCAAGAGCUACUAUAAUAUUUUUCUAAGCAUGCAUGAUUAUCAGAGAUUUAUUCUUAAAAUGAUCAAAACCUUAAUUGUUCCUCAAUGGUGAUGAAUUCCUACCACAGCCAUAUCUACUUUACAUAAUUGCAACCUUUCCACAUAAGCUAUUUGCUUUGUGUUGAGUGUCGUCAAGUCUUGUUGACCCUUGUUAAGAGACUUUUCAUGCUCCUAAGAUCAAGAUCACGUACACACCACAUAUAUAUAUGCUGCUUCUACACUGGAAGUACGCAACCACAUGUAUUUCGCAUCCACUAAAUAGGUUGCUCCAUACUCUAAAUGUUAGAACAUCUCUCUAAGCAUUAUUUGGUAAAUGAGACAUCAAAAGGCUAGGCAAAAUGAAAUAAAAAGAUGGACAUGUGCAAGUCCACAGAAAAAGAAAAUUGAGCACAUGAAAGCUCAUAUAUAUAUAUAUAUAUAUAAAAAAAAAUGCUAGCCAUGUCUCAAUACAUAGAGAGUCUAUCAAAUAAAGGAGCAACCUAGUCCACCAUAUAUCACACUUGCACAUCUUGAUCUGGGAGUAUGACACUUCUCUUCAAGGAUCCGAGCUUUGACUUCGCAAUACAUGCAAAGUAAGUAUGCUAUCUCCUUUCAUCCCUACCUUGAACUCCACAUAAGCCUUUUAGAAAUAGGAUGAAAUAGAGAAGGCAACUCUUACCAUAUGCCUUGGUGAGGAAUCAUACACCAUUUGAGUGACAUGAGAGAACCAUAAGAGGAACAUUUAAGCUUUCUUUUGAAAAUAUCACAAAACCUCUGAUAUGAAACUUGCUAAGAAUGAGAAAGUUAGUGCUCAAGUCAAACUGUUCUGUCUCUCAACCACAUAAGACAAAGGAAAAGCCAUAAGCCCCAUAAGGGACUAAGGUAAUAGGGGUAAGUUUACAUAGCUAAAUUUUUCAUGCAAAGAGAAGAACUUUGUUGUACACAUGGUACUCUUGAAAUGUGAACAUAGUAACAAUACCUGAUCCACCG
Molecule: long non-coding RNA, 1476 nt
Filed under: Sorghum bicolor (sorghum)
Lineage: Eukaryota; Viridiplantae; Streptophyta; Magnoliopsida; Poales; Poaceae
Description: long non-coding RNA (SBIC_LNC008447)
Source: RNAcentral